RNAcentral lists this long non-coding RNA (156 nucleotides) under Junco hyemalis (dark-eyed junco). RNAcentral's name for it is "lncRNA (ENSJHYG00000018329.1)". The record is from RNAcentral. Lineage: Eukaryota; Metazoa; Chordata; Aves; Passeriformes; Passerellidae.
ACAGUGAGAAGUGGGACCAGUGCUGGGUCCUUCCCUUGCUGCUGAUGUCCCCCAGGCUCACCCUCCCAGGGGUGGAUUUUACCUUUGAGGAGGACAAUCCCUGACCUUCAAACCCACAAGUGUUAUAAAAGAGAAAAUUACCAAGUUGGAGGGUCA